Molecule: long non-coding RNA, 249 nt
Filed under: Elaeis guineensis (African oil palm)
Lineage: Eukaryota; Viridiplantae; Streptophyta; Magnoliopsida; Arecales; Arecaceae
Description: long non-coding RNA (EGUI_LNC031495)
Source: RNAcentral
UCCUAGUAACGGAAUUCAGCUUUCGGUAGUCCACACAUACUCGCUAACCAGUUGUUGCACGAGUAGGAAUUAACUCACCCUCAUCAUUCUCUACUACGGUAAUACCUGACUUCUUAGGUACUACCUGGGUUGGACUAACCCAUUGGCUAUCCGAAAUUGGGUAGAUAAUUCCAGCAUCUAGCCAUUUCACUACUUCCUUUUUCACGACUUCCCGCAUAUUCGGAUUCAAUCUUCGUUGCAUGUCCCUAU